Molecule: ribosomal RNA, 481 nt
Filed under: uncultured bacterium
Lineage: Bacteria
Description: partial 16S ribosomal RNA
Rfam family: Bacterial small subunit ribosomal RNA
Source: RNAcentral
GAUGAACGCUGGCGGCGUGCUUAACACAUGCAAGUCGAACGAAGCACUUUAUUUUAUUUCCUUCGGGACUGAUUAUUUUGUGACUGAGUGGCGGACGGGUGAGUAACGCGUGGGUAACCUGCCUUGUACAGGGGGAUAACAGUUGGAAACGGCUGCUAAUACCGCAUAAGCGCACAGCAUCGCAUGAUGCAGUGUGAAAAACUCCGGUGGUAUAAGAUGGACCCGCGUUGGAUUAGCUAGUUGGUGAGGUAACGGCCAACCAAGGCGACGAUCCAUAGCCGACAUGAGAGGGUGACAGGCCACAUUGGGACUGAGACACGGACCACACUCCUACGGGAGGGAGCAGUGGGGAAUAUUGCACAAUGGGCGAAAGCGUGAUGCAGCGACGCGGCGUGAGCGAAGAAGUAUUUCGGUAUGUAAAGCUCUAUGAGAAGGGAAGAUAAUGACGGUACCUGAAUAAGAAGCACCGGCUAAAUACGUG